AGGAUGGUGACUUCACGAGCCA
This 22-nucleotide non-coding RNA is filed under the name Arabidopsis thaliana (thale cress). Lineage: Eukaryota; Viridiplantae; Streptophyta; Magnoliopsida; Brassicales; Brassicaceae. The record is from RNAcentral.